CAGCGCCACGGGAAUACGGAGGGCGCGAGCGUUACCCGGAUUUACUGGGCGUAAAGGGCGUGUAGGCGGCCUGGGGCGUCCCAUGUGAAAGGCCACGGCUCAACCGUGGAGGAGCGUGGGAUACGCUCAGGCUAGAGGGUGGGAGAGGGUGGUGGAAUUCCCGGAGUAGCGGUGAAAUGCGCAGAUACCGGGAGGAACGCCGAUGGCGAAGGCAGCCACCUGGUCCACUUCUGAUGCUGAGGCGCGAAAGCGUGGGGAGCAAACCGGAUUAGAUACCCCGGUAGUCCCUGUCUCUUAUACA
This 301-nucleotide ribosomal RNA is filed under the name uncultured bacterium. RNAcentral describes it as "partial 16S ribosomal RNA". It matches the Rfam family "Bacterial small subunit ribosomal RNA", at positions 509 to 808 of the family's 1533-position model. The record is from RNAcentral.